This 1368-nucleotide ribosomal RNA is filed under the name unidentified marine bacterioplankton. RNAcentral's name for it is "bacterial SSU rRNA". It matches the Rfam family "Bacterial small subunit ribosomal RNA", at positions 9 to 1371 of the family's 1533-position model. The record is from RNAcentral.
GAGUUUGAUCAUGGCUCAGAUUGAACGCUGGCGGCAUGCCUUACACAUGCAAGUCGAACGGCAGCAUGAUCUAGCUUGCUAGAUUGAUGGCGAGUGGCGAACGGGUGAGUAAUACAUCGGAACGUGCCCUGUAGUGGGGGAUAACUAGUCGAAAGAUUAGCUAAUACCGCAUACGACCUGAGGGUGAAAGUGGGGGACCGCAAGGCCUCAUGCUAUAGGAGCGGCCGAUGUCUGAUUAGCUAGUUGGUGGGGUAAAGGCCCACCAAGGCGACGAUCAGUAGCUGGUCUGAGAGGACGAUCAGCCACACUGGGACUGAGACACGGCCCAGACUCCUACGGGAGGCAGCAGUGGGGAAUUUUGGACAAUGGGGGCAACCCUGAUCCAGCAAUGCCGCGUGUGUGAAGAAGGCCUUCGGGUUGUAAAGCACUUUUGUCCGGAAAGAAAUCGCACUUACUAAUAUUAGGUGUGGAUGACGGUACCGGAAGAAUAAGGACCGGCUAACUACGUGCCAGCAGCCGCGGUAAUACGUAGGGUCCAAGCGUUAAUCGGAAUUACUGGGCGUAAAGCGUGCGCAGGCGGUUGUGCAAGACCGAUGUGAAAUCCCCGGGCUUAACCUGGGAAUUGCAUUGGUGACUGCACGGCUAGAGUGUGUCAGAGGGGGGUAGAAUUCCACGUGUAGCAGUGAAAUGCGUAGAGAUGUGGAGGAAUACCGAUGGCGAAGGCAGCCCCCUGGGAUAACACUGACGCUCAUGCACGAAAGCGUGGGGAGCAAACAGGAUUAGAUACCCUGGUAGUCCACGCCCUAAACGAUGUCAACUAGUUGUUGGGGAUUCAUUUCCUUAGUAACGUAGCUAACGCGUGAAGUUGACCGCCUGGGGAGUACGGUCGCAAGAUUAAAACUCAAAGGAAUUGACGGGGACCCGCACAAGCGGUGGAUGAUGUGGAUUAAUUCGAUGCAACGCGAAAAACCUUACCUACCCUUGACAUGCCACUAACGAAGCAGAGAUGCAUUAGGUGCUCGAAAGAGAAAGUGGACACAGGUGCUGCAUGGCUGUCGUCAGCUCGUGUCGUGAGAUGUUGGGUUAAGUCCCGCAACGAGCGCAACCCUUGUCUCUAGUUGCUACGAAAGGGCACUCUAGAGAGACUGCCGGUGACAAACCGGAGGAAGGUGGGGAUGACGUCAAGUCCUCAUGGCCCUUAUGGGUAGGGCUUCACACGUCAUACAAUGGUGCAUACAGAGGGUUGCCAAGCCGCGAGGUGGAGCUAAUCCCAGAAAAUGCAUCGUAGUCCGGAUCGUAGUCUGCAACUCGACUACGUGAAGCUGGAAUCGCUAGUAAUCGCGGAUCAGCAUGCCGCGGUGAAUGCGU